AUUUGAUAAUUUUAUCUUACUUUUUAUUUUUUUUAUUUUUGAGAAAUAUCUUCUUAUUUAGUAUAUUAAGGAAAAAUAUUUAUUUGUUAUAGAGUAAUAGUACUGUAAAGGAAUUGGUGAAAUAAAUUAAAUUUAAAUUUUUUGUAAGUAUGCUUAAUUUGCAGUACCUUUUGUAUCAGGGUUAAUUAAAUAAUUUAAUCUAUAUUUAUAUCUCGAUUUCAAAAGAGCUAAUUUAUUAUUUUAGUUAUUGUGUCAUAAUUAUUUUUAAUAUAAUUUAGUAGAGAAAUUUUAUUCGUUUUUGAGGGUAUCUAGUUUUUUAAGAAUUAAAUUUAAUUUAGUUUUAUUACUUAAAUGUUAUAUUUUAUGUAUAUAUUAUUUAAUAAAUUAAAAUUAAUAGGGGAUAAGCUUUAUAUUUUUCAAUAAAAGUUUUAAUUAAUAGAUUUGGGAGGUUUAAAAUAACCAUCCAUAAGAAAUGGGGUAAAAAUUAAAUCCAAUGGUAAAUAAAUUUGGUAAUUUUAGUAAAAUAUUAAAUACUAUAAUUAAUUUUUUAUUAUAGGAAAUAAUGAUUAAAUUAGUAUAAAAAUAUGUAUGCAAUUUUAUAAUUUGUAUGAUAAAAUAAGGAACUCGGCAAAUAAAGUUCUCGCCUGUUUAACAAAAACAUGGCCUUUUGAAUUUAAUUUAAGGUCUGACCUGCCCAGUGAUAAAUUUAACGGCCGCGGUAUAUUGACCGUGCAAAGGUAGCAUAAUCAUUAGUCUUUUAAUAGAGGGCUGGAAUGAACGGUUUAACGAGGAACUGACUGUCUCAUUUUAUUUGUUUUAAAACUUAAUUUUUUAGUUAAAAAGCUAAAAUACUAUUGGAAGACGAGAAGACCCUAUAGAUCUUUAUAUAAUUUUUUGUAAUUACUUUAAUAUUAACAUGAUUAUUUAAAAAUUAUAUUUUGUUGGGGUGACAAAAAUAUAUAAUCAACUUUUUCAUUUAUUUACCAUUGAUAUAUGAAUAUUAGAUCCACUAUUAGUGAUUGUUAGUUUAAGUUACCUUAGGGAUAACAGCGUAAUCCUCCUCCAGAGUUCAUAUUUACAGGAGGGCUUGCGACCUCGAUGUUGGAUUAAGAUAAUAAUUAGGUGUAGCCGCUUAAUUUAUAGGUCUGUUCGACCUUUAAAC
RNAcentral lists this ribosomal RNA (1162 nucleotides) under Sympetrum internum. Its description in RNAcentral is "partial 16S ribosomal RNA". Lineage: Eukaryota; Metazoa; Arthropoda; Insecta; Odonata; Libellulidae. The record is from RNAcentral.